CCUACGGGUGGCAGCAGUGAGGAAUAUUGGUCAAUGGACGAGAGUCUGAACCAGCCAAGUAGCGUGAAGGAUGACUGCCCUAUGGGUUGUAAACUUCUUUUAUAUGGGAAUAAAAUGUUCCACGUGUGGGAUUUUGUAUGUACCAUAUGAAUAAGGAUCGGCUAACUCCGUGCCAGCAGCCGCGGUAAUACGGAGGAUCCGGGCGUUAUCCGGAUUUAUUGGGUUUAAAGGGAGCGUAGGUGGAUUGUUAAGUCAGUUGUGAAAGUUUGCGGCGCAACCGUAAAAUUGCAGUUGAAACUGGCAGUCUGGAGUACAGUAGAGGUGGGCGGAAUUCGUGGUGUAGCGGUGAAAUGCUUAGAUAUCACGAAGAACUCCGAUUGCGAAGGCAGCUCACUGGACUGCAACUGACACUGAGGCUCGAAAGUGUGGGUAUCAAACAGGAUUAGAUACCCCUGUAGUC
Molecule: ribosomal RNA, 460 nt
Filed under: uncultured bacterium
Lineage: Bacteria
Description: partial 16S ribosomal RNA
Rfam family: Bacterial small subunit ribosomal RNA
Source: RNAcentral